GGAAAUUGAAUGCGGCCCGAAUGGUGGGACCCACAACCUUCAACUUUCUUCCCAACGAAGUAGUCGGUGUUACUUUUCUAUCAAAUGUCUAGACAACUUCGCAACUUCUCCUAGGAGGUCAUUACAGAAAGAAUCUCUCCAUCUACCCAAAUAUAUAUACCCACAACCCCGCUCCCUUUUUCAUCAAACCCAAUCCCUCACCCACCUCUCUCGUCUAUGUCAAAGAAGAAAAACUGCCCCUCCCUCUCUUCUCUGGUGAAGAAGAAAAACUGCCCCUCAUCGGUUGAUGAUCCUGCCGAUCCUUUCUCUGUCAACAAGAACAGUAAACACCUCUCAUCUCUUUCAAUCUCAAACCUCCUGAACUCGUCUCAAAUCAGGUAGCGAAAGAAGAACAAUGGAGGCCUCGAGCCUUUCUUCCCUGUUUUAGGAAGAGGAAUGAAUUACAACAUCCCAUCUGUUAUGGCAAAUUCAGUCAUGGGGUGUUGUGGACACUGGAAGUUGGAUACAACUUCCAUCCAACCAAUGAAGAAUUAAAUAAUUAUUUAUAAUUAUUUAAUUCUUCAUUAAUAAGAAAAGAUGGAAUCCAUCCGACCAAUGAAGAAUUAAACAAUUAAUUGUAAUCUUGUAAUAAUUGAAGGCUUAGUUAUUGUUGUAGAAUAAAUAUUGAUGCUGUAAUCUACCAGUUGACCUAUCUUGCUUUAUAUAUACUACAUUACACUGUUAAGUAACUUAUAAUUUUAGUGGAUUCUGUCACCGUAACAUUUGCUUAAUUUUUCUUUUCAAAAA
Molecule: long non-coding RNA, 786 nt
Organism: Populus euphratica (Euphrates poplar)
Lineage: Eukaryota; Viridiplantae; Streptophyta; Magnoliopsida; Malpighiales; Salicaceae
Exons: 2
Source: RefSeq, a predicted model, not a curated record